GAUGAACGCUGGCGGCGUGCCUAACACAUGCAAGUCGAACGAAGCACCUUACCGGAUUCUUCGGAUGAAAGUUUGGUGACUGAGUGGCGGACGGGUGAGUAACGCGUGGGUAACCUGCCCUGUACAGGGGGAUAACAGCUGGAAACGGCUGCUAAUACCGCAUAAGCGCACGAGGAGACAUCUCCUAGUGUGAAAAACUCCGGUGGUACAGGAUGGGCCCGCGUCUGAUUAGCUGGUUGGCAGGGUAACGGCCUACCAAGGCAACGAUCAGUAGCCGGUCUGAGAGGAUGAACGGCCACAUUGGAACUGAGACACGGUCCAAACUCCUACGGGAGGCAGCAGUGGGGAAUAUUGCACAAUGGGGGAAACCCUGAUGCAGCAACGCCGCGUGAGUGAAGAAGUAUUUCGGUAUGUAAAGCUCUAUCAGCAGGGAAGAUAAUGACGGUACCUGACUAAGAAGCUCCGGCUAAAUACGUGCCAGCAGCCGCGGUAAUACGUAUGGAGCAAGCGUUAUCCGGAUUUACUGGGUGUAAAGGGUGCGUAGGUGGCAGUGCAAGUCAGAUGUGAAAGGCCGGGGCUCAACCCCGGAGCUGCAUUUGAAACUGCUCGGCUAGAGUACAGGAGAGGCAGGCGGAAUUCCUAGUGUAGCGGUGAAAUGCGUAGAUAUUAGGAGGAACACCAGUGGCGAAGGCGGCCUGCUGGACUGUUACUGACACUGAGGCACGAAAGCGUGGGGAGCAAACAG
Molecule: ribosomal RNA, 745 nt
Filed under: uncultured bacterium
Lineage: Bacteria
Description: bacterial SSU rRNA
Rfam family: Bacterial small subunit ribosomal RNA
Source: RNAcentral